Molecule: ribosomal RNA, 893 nt
Filed under: uncultured bacterium
Lineage: Bacteria
Description: bacterial SSU rRNA
Rfam family: Bacterial small subunit ribosomal RNA
Source: RNAcentral
GUGUCAGCCGCCGCGGUAAUACAGAGGGUGCGAGCGUUAAUCGGAUUUACUGGGCGUAAAGCGUGCGUAGGCGGCUUUUUAAGUCGGAUGUGAAAUCCCCGAGCUUAACUUGGGAAUUGCAUUCGAUACUGGGAAGCUAGAGUAUGGGAGAGGAUGGUAGAAUUCCAGGUGUAGCGGUGAAAUGCGUAGAGAUCUGGAGGAAUACCGAUGGCGAAGGCAGCCAUCUGGCCUAAUACUGACGCUGAGGUACGAAAGCAUGGGGAGCAAACAGGAUUAGAUACCCUGGUAGUCCAUGCCGUAAACGAUGUCUACUAGCCGUUGGGGCCUUUGAGGCUUUAGUGGCGCAGCUAACGCGAUAAGUAGACCGCCUGGGGAGUACGGUCGCAAGACUAAAACUCAAAUGAAUUGACGGGGGCCCGCACAAGCGGUGGAGCAUGUGGUUUAAUUCGAUGCAACGCGAAGAACCUUACCUGGCCUUGACAUACUAGAAACUUUCCAGAGAUGGAUUGGUGCCUUCGGGAAUCUAGAUACAGGUGCUGCAUGGCUGUCGUCAGCUCGUGCCGUGAGAUGUUGGGUUAAGUCCCGCAACGAGCGCAACCCUUUUCCUUACUUGCCAGCAUUUCGGAUGGGAACUUUAAGGAUACUGCCAGUGACAAACUGGAGGAAGGCGGGGACGACGUCAAGUCAUCAUGGCCCUUACAGCCAGGGCUACACACGUGCUACAAUGGUCGGUACAAAGGGUUGCUACACAGCGAUGUGAUGCUAAUCUCAAAAAGCCGAUCGUAGUCCGGAUUGGAGUCUGCAACUCGACUCCAUGAAGUCGGAAUCGCUAGUAAUCGCGGAUCAGAAUGCCGCGGUGAAUACGUUCCCGGGCCUUGCACACACCGCCCGUC